AUACUUGCACCUCUAGUGCAUGCACACUCCGGUGGGAGCUUCAUAUUGACUUCUUAUGAGGCUGGUACUCUUCUAACUAACUUUAUCGUAGACCAUUAUAGAAUAUGGCUACUGUACUAUCUCUCGUAUACCUCUGAUAUUAAGAGCGAUCCUACAAUGUUCUCAAUCACGAUUUCUAUAAUUUUUUGGGUCCAAUAAUCCAACUCCUGAUUUACUUCGUUAUUGUAACUCUUUAGUUUCCUCUUCCUUCUGAUCAACCUUUAUGUAGGCUUAAGCUAUCUUCUGAUCUGUGGCUUACGGUAUAGUCAUUACUUUAGCCUUUCAUGGGCGCUAUGGAAUAUCCAUGAUACAAUCUUCUGAUAAUUCAAUCCUUUGUCUAUGCCCUAGGCUCAAUUCUUUCUUUUAACUUAUACUGAAGUCUUCUACGACUGUAUGAUUGUCAACAUCUAUGCUGCAUAGAUAAUACUCUGAAAUCUUGAGUGCAUUCAUAACGUAACUAACUCUGGAUCAUUGAUCAAAUAAUUCCUUUCGUUCCCUCUCAACUUUCUUUAAAUGUAAGCAACUACUUUUCCUGGUCGUUCUGCCACUUCUUCCAUGAAUGCUUGGCUUAUCUUAGUGCCCACACAUAUUGGAAUUCCGUACAAACCAUAUGAUCUUGAAUAUCACCUUUUGAUUUUUUUUUCCUUCUUCCCGUUCAUAGCCAUGAUAAGUGUCACUUUCUUAUGGAGUACAUACAAUGUUGUUGUGAGAUUGUUGUUACAAGACCAUUUUUUUUCUUCAAGUUACUAUGCUUAGGUUGAAGCCUUCUUCCGUAUUUCCUCAGCUAGUCUUUCAUUGUAGUACUUAGGGAAGACCUUCUGACUCUUGUAAAGUUGCGAGCUUAUUAUAUCGUAUACUUGACGGAAUUUUUCUUUUUGAUGUUCUUCCCCGUCUAUAAUUAUCCAUAGUUAUUUAUUUCUACGCCCUUGUGCUUGUCGGGCUGCUUCUGAACUAAUAUUUUGACUGUCUUCCCAGUGGCAUUCUAUUUCAUUUACCUUUAACUACCCCAACUCCUAUCUUAAUAUAUCUCAAGGAUCACGAUGUUAUAUCUGCGAGAUUGAAUUCCCCAUGUUGGGGUUCACUAUGUUCGUCUUACACAAUCUGUUGAUUUGUCUGUGUCCUCUUGUUUAGCCAUAACUAGGCUCUUCCUGAAUUAACUACUAACUACUCGUGGGCCUAUUCUCAUAUCAAUAUUCCGCGUAAUCUUCCUUGGGUUAUUUCCUUUGUCUUAACUUACGUCUCGCACUGGUUCCUUAUCUAUCAAUAACAUCUCUGGUAGGAACCCUUACUUCCUCUCCUUGAUGUCGUGCUUGUAUAAUGUUCUGGAAUCAUAGCAUAUCUAUAGGAUUUGAAUGAGUGCAAUCUCAUCCCUUUCUCAUUUUUAUCGCAUUCUUCCUUUACCAUUCCAUAGUUACUAGAAUCACUUAAUUCUGACUUAAUGCCACAUCACUCCAUAUUCCCUCCUUUAGGGGAGCACUAAGAUUUAGUACUACGAUGAUCUACGUAUAGAUGUUUUACCUUCUCAUCUUUGUCAUCUUUUCACAUCAUCGAUGAUCCUUACUUGCCUCGCGAUAAUCCUUCUGUACCAAGGAUAACAAAAUUCCUUACUCGCGAUGGUGACACUUAGUAUAACUGGCACAUACAGUCCCUUAAGCUUAACUUUGCUCAUAUUUCUUGCUUUAGGAAAGUGUCUUCCUGAAUAACCAUUCUCUGAAUUUCUCAUGAAUCUUCUUCCAUUAUCCAUUUUACUAUCGCCGAAACGUAAUCUGAAAUUCUCAUGAUACUGACUAUUAUCCAAUCACUCAGUCCUUAACUCACGUUUAGUUUAUCUUGUUCACCAGCCCAUACCGAUUUCUAUUAUUCUGGGGUCUAACUCUUUCUUCUGGUAAUCACGUUAGAGUCAUGAACUUAUUUCUCGAAAUGAGGAUAUGACUUCAUGGCCUAUACUCUUUUGUUGUCUCAAGGCUUGUCACCUCUCGUCUUUUCCUUCACUUGAUUAUAGACUCUGUAAUAUUGUCAUCAUUUUCAUUUUUUCUUUUUCUACCGUUGUCAUCCAGGUAUCACAUCUUACUUAUAAUGCUUCAUUAACUCUUUUCUUAUUUCCCACUAACAUCUAUGUCUAUCACUUUAUUCGAAAAACUCGAACAAGACAUUCUUUUGCUUUUAGCUCCCCUUGCUCCAUCCAUUGGCUUUUCGAAUUUCCUAACAUUCUUUCUCUACUAGGGACGAGAGCCACACAAAGAUAAUAUUUAUCCCUUCAAGGCUUCCAGUGCCUAUCUUUGUAAUAUUCAUAUAUGGCUGUACUAUUGUAGAGUUCACCAUCUGGGUGUCUCACAAGGAGAUUUGUUAGCACAUUUGCAAUAUACUUCGGAAAUGUCAACUAACGCAAAUAAUCCAUCCACCAUUUUGGGUCACUCUAAACCCAGUCGGAUCCUGAUAUUCGUCCUUCUCUUAUACUACUUCUGUUAGCUUCCAUAGGGCAUAAAUGAGAUGGGUGUGGACAAUUGUACAUACCUUUGUUACAAUUGAAGGUAACUCAAAAUGCGUAUAUUUCUCUGCUUGAAUUAUAGAUAAUGUUCAUCUCUACUAACUAGGUACCUCGUACCCCUCUUCAUCUUGCUUCUUUUACUUGUUGAAACUUGUACUUUCUGAUUCUUUCAUUGCUUUUUACCCUAAGAGUGGUUAGGCAUUCUUGCCUUAGGGAUCCUUAUCAAGAAACUUACACAUCUUAUAUACAUAUUAUCUGUUGAAUACCUCAUAUUUAUCCAUCAUAAGCAUAAUGCCAAAAAUUGAGUUCCUCAGACUCAACUCAUCCACAGCUAUAUCUCUUACCAACCGUCUUUCUGGUUGUAGGCAUCAUCAUAUUAUGAACAAGAUAGAGUUUAGGAAAUUGAGUUCUUGCAACUGAGCUCUACCACAUGAUCUAGAAUAAGAAGAAAGAGUGACAGUCCUAAAUGCCCUGUAGCCUCCUGCUUAUAAGUGUGGUGCACGACACAUCUAUAAACAAGACUCUACUAGACAAGGCUUGUAGACUCCCUAGGACAGAACUGCUCUGAUACCACUUUUGUCACGACCCAAAUCGAUGGGCCGCGACGGGCACCCGGUACCUUACUCAACCGAGUACCAACAUAACGUAUCUUUCGUAUCAUUCCAUCAUAGGUAAAUGAACCGGAGUAAAGCAUAAGGGAAUAAACUUAUACAUAUGACAUACUGGCCUAUAAGACCCAAAACGAUCACUCGUACACUGAACAUAGGCCGACAAGGCCAUACAACCUUUCAUAUACAUGACAUUUGUCUACAAGCCUCUAAGAAUACAUAAUUGUCAUAAAGGUCGGGACAGAGCCCCGCCAUACCAAACAAUACACAUCUAAAUCAUACUGACCAAACAAGCAACUCCGGAGCAAAUGGAGUGCACCAACAUCUUCUGUUGAGCCGAUCGCCUACUUGGAGGACUCUCGACCUAUUUAUCGACACCUGCGGGCAUGAAACGCAGCAUCCCCAGGCAAAAGGGAUGUUAGAACAAAUAAUGUACCGAGUAUGUAAGGAAUGAAAAUCAGUAAAUAAUAGACAUGAGAGAAACAUAGAGUAAAUGACUCGACAUGUACGUCUGCAUAGCUCUGUGAAUCAUUUCAUUUUUAUAAUGUCAUGCAUAUGCGUAUAAAUGUCAUACGAUGCAUAGGUAUAUGCUUUCAUAACAACAUCAAGCCUCUAAGGGCAUCCCAUCAUAUCAUUUCGGCCACUGUGGGCAAAUCAUCAACGUAUACCAGCUGAUCAAGUGGUGGUGCGUAUAUAACGUUGCAACCUUUUCCCAUAUCCCAUAAUACAUAUAAUAUACGCAUAUUUAAUGUCAUUUGGUCAUGGGUCAAUGUACAUGUAUAAAUGCAUGAAAUGCAUAAGAAAUACGUUAAUAAGAUUUCUUGGAAUGUCAUAAAAUUGAUAUGCCUUUCGGAUAAAAUUUAUCAAAUAUGUAUUUUUCUGAGACCCAUGAACAAAAGAUAUAAUAAUAAUUCACAUGGGGAAUCAAUAAUAUAGAUACCCCUAGUACUUCUAUGAAUAGAGUCAUUUAUGAAAAUUAUGCAUUUACUCGUUUCGUUUGUAUCGUAUGGAUCAUACCAAAAAGAAAGAAGGGAUAGCCUUAACAUACCUGAACCGAUUCUCUUGACAAUCCCUCCAAUAAACGUUGAUUGCGACAAAAUAUGUAACGGCGAAUUGAAGUAGGGGAAAAUUCGUAUGAUAUUCUUUGAGAAAGAUUACACCGUACUCCCUUAGAAUCGCAAAAUCUUGUUACUAUAACAUUACGUAGUCUUUGUAUGAAAGAUUGAAGCCACUUCACGUUGCUAAGAUAAUAUGGUAUUUUUGAUUGAAAUGUUGUUGAAGAUCCGUUUCUUGCCAAAUGGAAAUUAGAGAGGUCUUUAUGAUUUAUAUGGUGUGGGCCCCAUAUCUAAUGACUAAGCCACAUAAUAAACUUAAGUGUGACACCUCUCAAUCAUAACUCAAGAGUCAUUAAGUUGGCUUUAGCUUGCUGCCAACCCUCAUUAAUCACACGUGGAUUUGUCCCCCUUAACAAUUAUCCCAAUAAUUAUCCACAAAAUUCAAUUUACAAGUUAAUCUCCCACUAACAAAAAUUCAUAAUUAUCCAAUUAUCCACAUAAUUAAGAAUUAUCUCAAUUUACUUAAAAUACUACUCACUUUUAACACACUUUAUACGCCUUACUACCAUGGCCAUAUUGUACCUUGUAUGGUAUUAGUCCAUAAAUACCGGGUAUUUUAGCUCGGGACGUAUUUUAUCCCAACAUGUCAAACUUCGACGAAAUUCAUUUUCUUCAAUUUUCUUACCCUCUCUCCUUCACGAAUUUACUCAUCACUUAUUUGAAAUAGCAUAAUGCUUAUAAUCGCAAUAUAAUCCCAUUCCCGGACUUACGUCGAUUAACUUACGACGUAACUUUAACGUACGAAAAUAUGGGUAGUAAUAUUCCCGUCAUAUUCAAACCAUCUGAACAUAUCCCGCAGUCACAUCCUACUCAUCAUAUAACCAUCCAAACACUCACCGAGCCACAAGUCCCGCUCAUAGGGACACCACUGGACAUAGAAGUCCUAAAGCACAUGCUCACACAACUGAAACUACCGAGCCUAAGCUAUAGUCUAAAUCGGGCCUCAAGUCCUCCAGACUGGCCCAUCACCAAAACACAGAAAACACAUCUCGCACCUCAUCCAUGGAAUCCACGAGACGUCGAUGUAGAGCUGAUACCGAGCGCUCACAUGCGCAUACGAGUGAGUGGAAGGAAUUUAAGGAGAUAUGCUUCAAGCUGAAUCAAUGUCGUACGAUAAGGAAAGAAAGAUGGAAAGUUUAUCCUUUUACGUACGGACUCUCAUCACCUCAUGCGUAUAUAGCACCCAUAACUAGUAGUAGAUAACAAUUUAACACCUACAGGGUAGUUUUUCCCUCACAAGAUUAGACAUGAGACUUACCUCGCUUCGAAGUUCCAUAACCAUUUCCAAAGCCUCUCUACAACCUCAAACUGGUGCCCAUCAAUCCGAAACUAGUCAAACUUCAUGCAAACCAACAAAAAUAUACUCCAAAACUCAUAAUUAAUCAAUUUAUAACAAUUCUCAACUCCGCUCGAAAAGUCAACAAAGUCAACCAUCGGGCUCACGUGCCCAGAUUCCUAAACUUUAUUAAGAUAAACAUUACUCAUGACACCACGAACCCAAAUAUAUAAUUGAUUCCCAAUUCCAUGUCCAAUUUCGUGGUCAAAAUCCAAAAAAUAUCAAAUUCUAGGUUUUCUUCCAAAUCCCACAAUUUCAACAAAAUUUCAUGUUUAAACCAUAUAUAACUCAUGUACUUAGCUCACAAUAUGUAGAAGUUUCUUACCUCAAGGUAGGUGAUAAAGUUAGCUCCUCCAAAUCGCCCAAAACCACCCAAGCAAGAGAGAAAUGAGUUGAAAAUGAGAAAAUCCCGACUUUGCAAGCUUAUAAUCUGCCCAUGCGCCCUUCUUCGCGAAAGCUGAAAUUCCCUCGCGUUCGCGAAGCAUAACCAACUUCAGCUCCCAAAUUCCUCUACGCGAACACGAGAAAAGGCACGUGAACACGAAGCUUUACCAGCCUGCCCAUCGUGAACGCGUCUUCACUUUUGCGAACGCGAAGACCAAGUCCCCCACCAGGCUAGCUUCUUCAUCGCGAACGCGAUCAUAGAAUUGCGAACGCGAUCAUAGAAUCAUGAACACAAAGCCUUGCUGCCCAAACCUUCAUGAACGCAUGACGAUAGUCACGAAUGCAAAGCACAAAAUUCUCAGCAACCAAAAUCCUUCCUCGCGAACGUGAGCACCCCCAUGCAUUCGCUAUGAACAACACCAGAACCAGCAACAUCAGCAGCAAAACAUACGGAAAUGAUCUGAAACUACCCCGAAUCACACCAAAAAGUCCCAAUACCUUAUCCAAAGGCUCGAAGCGCCACGAAUAACAUCAAAAUCAUGAAUCGAAGAUCAAAAUUCUUCUCUUAGCUUUCAAACAUUCAAACUUCGACGAAUGCAUCUGAACCAUAUCUAAACAUUUCUGAAUGGUGCCAAACUUUACGUACAAGUCCCAAAUCAUAAUAUGAACCUAUUCCAAGGCUGGAAAUCCUAAACUGGCAUCAAUAACAUCAAAGUCCACUUCAAAUCAAACUUAGAAAAUUCAAAAAUCUUCAAAAUGCCAACUUUCCACAAUAAGCAUUGAAAUGCUCUCGGACAAUCCGAUACUCAACCCAAACAUACGUCCAAGUUCGAAAUCAUCAUACGAACCUAUAUAAACCUUCAAAUCCUGAUUCCAAGGUCGUUUACUUAAAAGUCAAACCUUGAUCAACUCUUAUAACUUAAAACUUCCAAAUUGAGAAUUUUCCUUCCGAAUCGACUCCGAACUUCCCGAAAUUCAAUUCCGACUACGCGUACAAGUUAUAAACAUGAAGUGAAUCUUAUUGAGGCCUAAAAUAACCGAACGACGUGCUAGAGCUCAAAACGACAGGUCGGGUUGUUACAAAGAUGAGAUAAGCAGAAGCUAUGGUGGUCAAAAUCUGGCCAGAUGUACAAAAUUUCUCGGCGAGAUUUAGCCAAGCCGUCAGUGGUUAGAGAGAGAGGAGAAAGAAGCGAGGUGCAGUGGCAUUGGGUCGCUGGUGAAUUUUUGGCCAGCAACGUGCAGAGAGAGGUUUGAAGUAGGCUGCCAUUUUGAUCCUCAAAUGAGAGGAUAUUUUUUAGAGGGGUGCGGCUGAAGCUUCUCUAAUGAGAGAAUGAGAAGAGUGGGUUAAAGUUAGCUUUUGGGCCCUAGAAAAAGAUGAUGGGUGAGGGGUGUGUUGUGUAUGUGUAGAUAUUUUUAUAUAAUGGGGUGUUAAAAACAUGUGGUCAUCAUUUAAUUAAAAAAAAUAAAAAGGCAAUGUAAGAAAUAAAAGAUGUUGUCCAAAAUUAAAGAAAGUCAUGUCGCGUAAGGUCACGUCAAGUCACAUCAGGUCAUAUCAUGAUGUCUUGUCACAUCAAGUGUGUCAUCACAUCAGAUGUUAAUGGGAUAUUAGAUUUGACUGGACUCUAUCCGUAUUUUAAAUUAAAUGUAUCGGCUUCCAAGUAAUUACUAGAUUGCCUUAUAAAUUGAAAGAUGAUUAUUUAACAAAAUUAUGACUUGCAGUAUUUAUUAAAAUGCCAACUACUACAACAAUAUUGUAGUAAUUAUUAUUUAUUUUUUGAAAGGACAAUAAAUUGAUAGAAUAUCCUAAUAUUUGAAAAAUAGGACAAUUAUCAAUAAAUUACUUAAAAUUUAGAAAAAUGCACAAAAAUGGUAGUAUUUAACUAAUUGCAAUAAAAUGAUAAAAAUUCUCAUAUUUUGUAAAAAGAGGAAUAAUUAUCAAUAAAUUGUAUUAAAGCUAAAUAAUGUACAUAAAACUAUAUUUUUAUCAUUUUGACUAGGAAGCUUGCAGAAGUUAAUUUUUAAAUAUGGAGGGUCAAAAUUGAGUAUCAACACUACUAAAGCAAUCUUUCUCAACUACUAGAGUAAUCUUCCUCAACUACUAGAGAAAUCUUUCUCAACUACUACGGUAAUCUUCCUCAACUACUAGAGCAAUCUUCUUCAACUACUAAAGUAUUUUGAGACUCUACACACAGGGUGUGAGUGUAGUACCAGGAAUCGUAGAAGCUAGUAAAAUAGUAUAGUAGAUAUUGAAUUACUAGAAUAGAAAUUGGAUUACCUUCGUAGAGAUUGAAUUACCUCGGUAGAGAUUGAAUCACCUUAGAAGUGGUUGAAUUAUUCGCACAAAAGUCUUCCUACAAUGGGAGUGUUGGAGUCUCACAAAAGGCAUCCCUCACCACAACUAGGCCGUCAACAGCGAACUCGAAAAACUUUUGCACUCCUAAUGCAACAACUACUAAAGAAAUCUUUCUCAACUACUACAGUAAUCUUCCUCAACUACUAGAGCAAUCUUCUUCAUCUACUUAAGUAUUUUGAGACUUUACACGCAAAUAUAAACCAGCGAUAUCCCCAUAUUUUGGAGGAAGAAACUAUAAGAGACUUAGCUAGAAGAAGACGUUUUAUUACACAAGAGUUUUUACAAGAGAACUAGGUUGGAAUUAAGAUAUCCUCCAACUACAACAAAGGCUCCUAUUUAUAGGAGAUGAAAAGCUAUUACAUGCACUACCCUUACUUAAUUACAUAGUACAAGUGGCAUAAAACAAGAACGACAAACAUAAAAGUCUUACAAUGUAAGAUACUUAUUUGACCAAUAGAUAAAGCAUAAAAGCAUGAUAAUGAAAUAGAAAACAAAUUGCACGGCCAUGGAUGAUGACAAAGGAACUCAUGAAUAGUAUUUGCAUGGCAUCGGGUUCGAGUAAAUUUAUGGUUUGACAUGGAUGACUUUUCUUUGAUGACAGGAGGAACCUUUGAAUAAUACUUGCAUGGCAUAGAACUUUGGAAACUUUAUGGAAACACAUGGGUAGGCAACUUAAUUGAUAUAUUUUUGAAUUUUUAUGGUAACCUUUGGUGGGUUAAAGGGCUAAAAGAUGAAAAACUUGUGCAGUUUGUUUGUUUUUUCAUGGUAAUUUCUGGUGGGGUAGAGUAGUGAAAAAGAUAAAGAAGGCGUGCAUACUUUUAUUUUUUCAAUGGGUACUUACCUAGGGGGUUAAGAGGUAAAAAUAGUUUGAGACACUUGUGCAGUUUUUUAGUUUAGGAAAAAGGGAAAUUAUGGAAGGGAAGCUAGCUAAAAAGGUUUAGAAGACUUAUGCAAAUUAUUUCCUAGCUCAUGAUUACGCAUUAUGCUUAUCUUUAACUCUUCUAGCCUUCGCUUUUCAGCUCUUGUAAAAUAUCUCUUUAUGUGUGGAUGAUCUUCUUCCAUAACUCUUGCUUUUUUAGCUGUCCUCUUCUGCAACGAAUUGUUGUUUUCCCCAUUUAAAAUAAUCUUAGCAAUUUAUGCUGGAUUAAUUUCAUAUGGGUCUUGUGAGUCUCGAAAAUCACGGCACUUGAAUUCCAUGAGAAUGUGGUAUUGACGGCAGAGAUACCAAAAGAACCAUAAGAGCUCUUAUGAAAAAUUCUUUGCUUGCACUAUGAACACCUAGCAAUAGGGAUAUUCCAGAUUAAUACCAAAAGGUACUAGUAUGGAAUUUCCGUAGUUUCAAAAAACUUGGAGUUCAUAAAAUCCCUUCGCCCUAAUAAGAUGGACGGAUCAAGAGGAUCCAAAAUAUCAAACAACUCCGGCGGGUGAUGUAAUGUUGCAGAAACCUUUUGGAAAAUUCAUCUGGGCGUGAACGGAAAUCAGCAAGAAUACUAUAUUUCCCUUUCAAGUGCUUGACCUGAAACUUGUAUGGAGAGAACCAUUGAGCCCUGAGAAUUUGCGUAUACGGAAUGACCAUUGGAUAUCAUCCUCGGAAAAACCUUCAUAUCCAUCUCAAUAAGAAACUCUUAGUGAAUUAGGAAAAAAUUAAACUUUUUAAUCUCAUUUUUCACUGCAAGAAUCUCCUUGAAAGUGGAAUGAUAGUGUUGCUCAGCAUCCUUGAAUCUUCCACUAGCGUAACCACAUAUUUUUCUCUGGCCUUUUUCUUCUUCAAAUAAAAUUGCGCUCCAAUAUUCAUUGCUAGCAUCUAUCUGCAACAUUUUCUUUUCAUUGGAGGGAAUGUACAAAGAUUCGAUAUUUUGGAACACCUCUUUUAUUUUUCUAACUGCAUUAUUUUGUUCUUUGCGCCAUGGCUGGGCAUUUUUCUUCAAUAUUUUUGUGAGAGGAGAAAUAUAUGUAGAAAUAUUAGGAAUAAUCUCACAUAAUUUAUUAUUCUCAAAAACUGUUGGAAUUGCUUCGUUGUGAACCCAGUAUCAGGGAACUUGAGAAGUUCCUGAGAAAUAUGAGGACAUAGGAUGUAUUCUCCAUGGAUAAAAUACAUGCCUAAAAAUCAAUUUCUUGUUAUGCAAAAACCAUUUUUUGGAUGAAAGCAUUAUACCAUUCUUUCCACUAAAGAUGCAAAAUGAUUGAGCAAAUUUAUGUGUUCCUCCAAAGUAUCACUAAACAAUAAAAUAUCAUUAAUGUAAACAAGUUAUGUGUGGAUAAUUGGCUGAAAUACUUUUAUUAUGGCAUUUUGAAACAAAGAUGGAGCAGUUUUUAAACCGAAAGGCAUGACAUUCUACUGAAAAUGGUGAUUGGGAAUGCAAAACCAGUUUUUCCCUAUCAUCCAGGUGGAUUCUCAAUUCCUUAAAGCCUGAUUUGAGAUCAAACUUAGAAAAAUAUUUUGCUUUGGCAAGUUGGGAGAAAAGGGUGAGCUUAUUUAGGAUGGAAAAAUUAUCGUCAAAAAGAAAAUGAUUGAGCAGUUAGUAAUUAAUUACCAAUCUAAAUUUACCUCUUGUUUGCUUGGUCUUUUGUUGACAUAAAAUUCUUCGCAUGCCCAUUUUGAAUUUGAUGUCUCAAUAAGAUCAAAAUUCACUAGCUCCUAACACUCCUUUUUUGCAAGAUGAAGGUUGUCGGAAUUCAUAUCAGAGUGACUUUCCUUUGUAGGAUUGAUAUUCUCAUUAUUUUUGAAAGGCAACUUGAUGAAGAACUCUUCAUUUUUUCAUAAAGAAGUCACAUUUGGUUAAGAAUUCAGUGUGAGAUUCUGCACAGGAGUGUGGUGUGAUCUGUGCUUCAAUUUUCCUUACUUGAUCUUCUUUUAUGAGCUGGAACAAUCUCGGGACUGCAUAAUAUGGCUUGAGCUUCUUUUUGAAUGUUAUCCCAUUGGCUUUGAUCUUGAACUUGUCCUACAAAACCCUGUAAAUGUCAAAACCAAUAAUCAAAUCCUUACCAAUCAAUUUGGUCAUGUACUUCAAUCCUAGGAAGAAUUCCAUAGUGAUCGGGGGCUUGGUAAUGAUAGUUGUGGUCAGAAUUCCAUUUGAGGCCGUGUUAAAAUUCUUGAAGUAUGGCGCUCAAUACUCAUAAAGAAAGACCGCAUGAUUAAUGAGUGAGGAGUUUGCUCCCAUGUUAAAGAAAGCUAUGACAUGUGUUGGUUUGUCCCACUUGGAUGCAUAAACUUUAAUUACUACUUGCGGGAUUGUUACGAUCCCAAAAUCCCACCUAAGGUAGUCGUGAUGGCACCUAGUCUCUAAGACUAGGUAAACCUAAUAUUCAUUUAUAGCUUAACAGAAAUAAUGAACUAAGAUAACAAAAUAAACCGAUAAAGAAAACUCAUAAUAACUACAAAGCGGAACAUCAGUAACAAGAUCCCCAAAACCGGUGGAACUAAGUCAUAAACUCUACAGAAUGUACUAAAAUUUCUAAUAAAGGUGACUCCGAGACCUGCAAGUGUCGAGCAGGUAUACCUUGAAGUCUUUGGGAAUAAUUGUACGGUCACUAGCGUCCGGCACGAGCAGAUGUACCUGGAUCUGCACAAAAAUAUGCAUAAGCAUAGUAUGAGUAUACCACAAUGAUACCCAGUAAGUAUCAAGCCUAACCUCGGUAGAGUAGUACGAGGCCAGGUCAGGACACCUACCAGGAUAAGAAAAUUGAACAGAUUAUAGUAUAGUCUAAUAAUGAAAAGCGAGGAAAUAAAUGACAAUAAGGCAGUACAAUAAUAUAAGCUAACAAUGAAAUUUAAGGUAAUGAAGACAACAAGUAAUGAACACAUGAUAAGAACAACAAGUAAUCAAUUACGGACAAAUAAAAGUAAGACAAAUAAGGAAACAACAAGAAUUGUUCAAUCAACAAGCCUUUUUAACAUGUACAAUAAGAAUCACAACCGAGGUAACACACCUCAUAACCUCAUUUCACAAAUCAUAAUAACAAUCUUUCCUUAUAUCACCGCGUGAGCCUUACAUUUAGAUUUUUGAAAAUAUUUUCCCAAAGUAGCUACACGCGCUUUAGCCACCUUAUGUCGUCGCGUGGCUUCAAGUAAUUUCUUUACUAGCAACACGCACAUAAAUCCCACCUUAUGUUGACGCAUGCACAUAAACUCCUAUUCUUAUACCGUCGCAUGCGCAUUAAUAUUACAACACAAUAACAUCUCGUACCACACAUGCCCAUAUGCCACAACUUGCCAAAAUCAUAACCAAUAUUACCACAACAUAUAGCCCACGACUCAACCAAAAUGUGUACAAGAAUCUCAAAUUAACAAAAUGAAUGAGAAAUACUCAACAAGGGAAGAUAUCUCAAUAACUAAUAACUUCAACCUCAAUGUUUUAAUAGCUUUCGCUACUUCAACUUCAAUAACUCAACAUGAUGGUAUUUCCACGAAAUGACAAUUUUCAAUCUAAAUGUACAACAUAAUCUUAACAAUGAAAGAGAUGGUAUGAAAUUGUAUCUACAUCUAAAUGUAUGAGAAUAACUCAACACGAAAAGACAUCAUGUAAUAACAACUCCAAAUAAGAAUAACUCGACAAUAAAAGAGUUAACAUGACAAUAAGAGAGAUAACAACGACAAUUAAGGCAUACAAGAGCAUGUUUGACAAUAAAAGAUAGAACCUAUGAUAACAACAUCAAGUAAUGCAUGUAAGAGAAAUUUAACAAUGGAAGAUAUAACGUGAUAUGACGAUUUCCAAUUAAAUACAUGAAAGAGUCUAAGAGUCUAAACCGGUCAAAUUACCAUAUAUAAGCCCGUGUACACGACGUACACACUCGUUACCUUGUGUACAUUUUUUCAUAUAAUUCAAAUAAUGCAAUCAACCCAAAUCCUAAAGGGUAGUUUCCCCUACACAAAGUUAGGCAAGAUACUUAUAUCAAACAAGCUAAAUCAAUCUCCUAAUAAGCCUUUCCCACGUAAAUCCAACUCCGGACGGCUCGAAUCUAGCCAAAAUAACUUUAAAACAUAAAUACAAGCCAUAGGAAGUAAUUUCGGUUAGUAAAGUUUCAAUCUUUAAAGAAAUUGAAAAGUCAACUCCGGGAUCGCACCUCGAAACCCGACCAAACUUAUAAAUUUCGAACACCCAUUCCGAUACGAGUCCAACCAUACUAAAAUUAUCCAAUUCCGACGUCAAAUCAACCUUCAAAUCCAUAAUUUAUGGUUUAGGAAAGUUUUUAAAAAUAUCCUCAAUUUCUCCAACUGAAAUCACUAAUUAAAUGAUAAAAACGAAGAUGGAAUCAUGAAUAAUGAACAAAUCCGAGUAAAAAAUACUUACCCGAUCCAAACCUUGAAGAUCCCCUCCAAAAUCGCCAAAAUUCGAGCUCUUUAACUCAAAAUAUGGGAAAUUAAAUAAAACCCUCAUUCUAGUUUAUUUCUACCUAGUGAUUUCUCCUUCUACGGUCUAGUAGCCGCUUCUACGGCUCCGCAUCUGCAGAAAUUCAUCGCAGAUGCAGUAUUUCAUUAAGCCCAGGAAGUCUGCUUCUACGAACCUAUAAGCGCAUCUGCGCGUCCACUUUUGCAGAAAAUGAUGGCACAUGCGGUGCCCUGGCCAACAAUCCAAAUCCACAUUUGCGGAGAAAUGACUGCUUCUGCGGUUGCGCAUCUGCGCAAAGCUAUCUGCACAUGCAAUCCCAGCUCACCCAUCUCACAUCUGCAGCCACUGGGCCGCUUCUGCGGCGUCGCACCUGCGACCGUACCAUCGUAGGUGCAAUUGCACCAAUUCACAACAGGCAUCAAAAUCCUCCAAGUCUCCAAAAUAAAUCCGAAUUCAAUCUGAAUCACACCCGUUCCCCCCUCCCCCCCCCCAGGACCCCGUCCGAACAUACCAUCAAGUCCCAAAACAUAACACAAACCUACACAAGGCCUUAAGUCACAUCAAACAGCAUCAAAUCUACGAAUCGCACCUCAAUUCAAGCAUAUUCAAUCAAUGAACAUUUCACUUCUAAAACUAAUGUCGAAUCAUAUUAAACCAACUCCAAAUGGGCUCAAAUUUUGCAUUCAUGUACCAAAUAAUACAACGGACCUGUACCAACUCCCAGAAUCAUAAUCCGAGCCCGAUGUCAAUAAAAUCAACCCCCGGUCAAACCUAUCAACCACCCAAAACUUUAACUUUCCAACUUUCGCACAAAAGCAUCAAAUUAACCUACAGACCUCCAAAUCAACAUCUAGAUAAUCUCCUAAGUCCAAAUUCACCAUACGAAGCUACCAGAACCAUCAAAACUCCAUUCUGGAGUCGUCUACAAAAAGUCAAACUUCGGUCAACUCUUCCAACUUAAGCUUUCAACCUUGGGACUAAGUGUCCCAAAUUACUCUGAAACUCACCCGAAACCAAACUAACCACCCCGGCAAGUCAUAUAAUCAUAAUUGAAUAUAGAGGAUACAAUAAAUAGGGAAACAUGGCUAAAAUACUCAAAAUAACCAGCCGGGUCGUUACAGGGAUCAUUGUGAUGCUGUGGAUCUCUUCUUUCACCUUUGGCUUUGGUUAUGAAAUUUGGUAAUGAUUAUCACCAUAUUCCUCAUAAACAUCCAGCAAAAAGAGAGUCUCUUCUGUGGGCUCAUCUUCGAGUGAGAAAACUGAUUCAAGAUCAUCGUCCUCAUUGAAAUGAAUGCCUGUGUAAUCUGUAAUCUCAGAGAGAAGACUAAUAGACUACUUGGACUGCAUGCAGUUUCACGCAAAAUAUCCUAUUUGCUUACAAAUAAAAUAGGCUCAACUUCUCCUUGCAUUGCCCGGCCUUCUCCUUCUGAAGUAUUUUGUUUCCUUCUGAACAUGGACCCGUCGCCUGAGAAUUUUGGCAACCUGAAGCUUUUGAACUUCUUCCUUGGCGCCUGACAUGAGCAAUCUUUCUUACCUGUGAUUAAAUCUGACAUGCGGCAAGCUCUAUGAAGUGUUGCAUCAUUCUUUAGUAUCUAUUUUAGAGCAGAUCUUUUUGUACAGAUAUCAUCAAGAGCAUAAAAAAUGGCUUGCCUAAUGUAACCAAUAUUCUGAGCAGUUAUUGAUUAAUAUUUAUCUUCUAUGACGGUCAUGGUUCGACCAUCCAACAUCUUUGGUAGGUAUGAAACAAAUGCUUGUUUUAGAUUGAUAUCCUCACCCAGUUCAAAAAAUGAUUUUUGCCAUUUUCUGGAAAUGUUUGUCAAUGAUAUCUCUAUCCAAAUACACACACUUCAUUUCAAAAAGUUGUCUUCGAAGUUUUUCAUGCCUACGGACAGCAUCACCACAGAAAACUUCAUGCAAGAUUCUAAUGUUAAAAGAAAAAUCUUGGGAAGUAAGGAAAACAUUUUUGUCCUGCAACCUAAGUGAAUUCCACCAGUCUCGAAGAAUACCUGAGAGGCGAGAAGUGAAAUCUGAUAGAAUUAUGUACUUUUUCUCUCUGCCAAAUUCUUGGUCACCAUCCAAAUGUAGAAAGUUUGGAUUCUUUGAGGCCAUCUUGAGACUUUUAUAUCAUCUAAGUAAAGGCAUGGAAACCAGUACCUACCUAUUUGGCUGUGGCAAAAUCAUAUCUCCUUUCUGGAAUGGGCUCAUCAAUCAUUCUAUCUUGUUCAUUGUCAACUUCGGAGACCUCCAGCUCCCUAGGCUGAUUCAUGAAAAUGGGAGGAAGUUCUUCUUCUGAAGAAUCUUGGGAGGAAUCAUUACUUACCUCGGAACUAUCCUCUAUUAGAACUUUUUGGAUAGAAUCAUUAGUAAUCUCCUCUGUUUGUUGGGUAUCGGACCUUUGAGAUGUUACUUACUCUAAAUCACUCUGUGGUUGGGCAACAUAGAGGCUUGGGGUUUGGAGGGUAAAGAUCAUGAGGUUCUCAUAGUUGGCAUUUUUUGAGCUUUUUCCUACCUCUCUUUUCUUUUUCGGGUGUCUAUGUGCUGCAAGUGCAUCUUUUCUUUCCCAAACUAACUUUGCAAUAUCAAAUUUGUGUUCUUCAAUAAUUUGAGCAAAUGGGUUAUGAGCAGCUAUAUGGCUUUUUCUUUAGGGAGAGGAAAAGCUAGAAAAAGGAUAAUCUAACUGAGGAGGGAAUAGGUUUGAGAUGAGAAUGUACUUGUAGGAGGAAGAGAAGUGACCUGAGGACUUCAGGGUUUCUGGGGCACAAAGUGAUCAUUUUUCAAGAGAUGUAUUUGUUCUCUUAGAGACACCAUCUCUUUCUGCUAUUGCUGGAAGAAAUGGAAAAAAGAAGUACCCGGCGAACAAAUAUCAUACUGCAAGCUUGCUAACCUAUGCUCCAAGGCUUUGAUAAGUCCUACAUGCUUAGAAGACUUAUCUACAACAUGUUCCACCUUCUUCUCAAUGUUUUCCAUCCUGCUAACCAUUUUAUUCUGAGUGUGUGCAACAUUUUUAACAAUGCUAUCAAUGUUGUUCAAGAUUCUAUUUUGAGAAAUAGAAUUUUCAGACUGCUAAUUGAUUGUUGUUUCAAUGUCACUAGAUGGUGAUUUUUCUCCUGAGGGUAAAACAAUAUUCUUUUUGGGGAUCUUGGGGUAUGAUCUGCACCAUCUUUACUGAAAUGUUCAAGAGGUGAAAAAUCAUGAGUAUAGUCAGUUCUAAUGGGGAUAUACAUUAGUAUUUCAGGAUUAUUGGGAAAAGCGAUUGCCUCGUCAUCUCCCCAACUAGGGAUGAUUGGCCUGGGAUUUUUCUCUUGCAAUUUUGGCCAUUCUUGAGGGUUAUUGCUGAUAAGGUAUUCAUACUUACUGGGCGGCUGAGCGAGCUAACUGAUGGGUCGCCUUUUUCAUACCUUUCUUGAAGGUGCAGAUGAUUUGCACUUUUUCUUUCUGGCCUUCUUAUUUUUCUUCUGGGCACCCGGUAGUAUUCUGUUAGAUCCUCAAGGCAUUCUUAGCAGGAACAUUCAAUAUCUCAUAGGCAAUGACCUGUGAAAUGAUUCUUGAACCACCACACAGUUCUACCUUUGAUGUCAAAGUGCACAAUCCAGUCAUGGUUGGGCAUGAUUCCAUCUAUCCGUUCGGAGAAAUAGUCUGGAUCAUAUCCAUAGGGAGAGUGGUACAUGGGUUGUAUCAUAUGGAAAGAAAAAAUAACCUUGUUUGGCUUUUUAAGGUGAGAGUGGUCAAAUCUUAUCAAGACACUUUGAUCAUUUUUCUCACAAUGGUUGACUCGGUGGAUGCGAGGGGUUAUGAGGGCUCUUUCAAUUUUUCAUAAUUUGUCACCCAUGAAUCUGGAAGAAUUUUACAAGUUGUUCUUUUGAAAUCUGUAUGGGGAUCUGGGUGCAUUGGGUAGUACCUUUUGUGGCAUCAACAUUGAUGAGCAAUUUCAACAUUUAUAUUGUUAUCAUCUUGGAUGAGUAUCCAUUCCCGUGUAUACUCGGUUAUCAUGACAAUUCAAUGAGCAAUUUCAAUAUUUAUGAGUCUAAUCAUAACAUUUAAGAAGAUUGAAUUAAACCAUUUAACCACCAAAUCAUAAGUCAAAUAAGACAAGUGUAUGACUACGGCUUAAUAAGAAAGCUCAACAUAGCAAAAAUAGUCAUUUAUAUCCAAUUCAACAAGUCAUAAUCUUAAGCAUGCUUCUAAGCCAUAUUUAUGACUCAUCACAUAGUGAAAGAAUCAAUAAAAUAUAGAUAAUAAACUUAUAUAGUCCAAACAAGACAUAAUUAUAAGCCAAACUCUAUCAGAUAUGGUCAUAACCUAGCUACGCCAUAUACACUCGUCAUCUCACAUAUAUGUGGCUCCUAGGUCAAGUAACAAGUAGCAAAUAUACCACCUAUGGGGAGAAUUUCCUCUUAAAAGGAUAAACAUGAGACUUACCUCAACCCGAUAAUUGUAAUCAAUCAACAACUACGUUUCCUUUGAAAUUCAACUCCAAACGACUCGAAUCUAGUUAAAUAGUACUUAAAUGAGUCAAUACAAGCUUUAGGAAUUGAUUUCAUAAUAAAAAGAUUCAAUUUUUAAUCCAAAUAAAAAGGUCAACAAAAAGUCACCACGGGCCAGAGCCUAGAAUCUGAAAUUGAUCAUAGAUAUAGUUCACCCAUAACCCCACGAGUCCAAAUAUAUAAUUAGAUUCUAAAUCGGGGUCUAAUUUCAUAAUCGAAACCCCUAAAAUCACUCUCUUAAGUUCAUACUAAAACCCCCAAUUUUUACACUUUAAUUCCUUAUUUUAGGGGUUAGAAUUCCAGGUAGAUCUUUAAAAUAGAAUCGCAAAUGAGUAAAAAUCACUUACCUCUUGCGUAGUUUAAAUGAAAAAUCGCUCCUCUCCAAGUCUAGGGUUCACAUCAAAUACUCUGAAUCUAUAAAUCCUUUAAUUUUUUUAAUUUUCGAUUCCACCAAUUUUAAUUCCAAUACGACAAAAAACACCCAUGAACUUCUCCACCUACUCAACUGUUGCAGUUUCGUAAAGCAUUUUCAACCUCUACGAACAAUCCCUCGCAAAAAUAUUUUUAUGAAACUUUCUAGAAUCUUUAAAAUUUUCACAUAAUAGAGUUUGAAAAAUAAGAAGAUGACAAUAUAUCGAUUUCGGUAUUGGUUGAGAUAAAAUCAAGGUGAUAUUGUUGUCGUGACUUUUGUGAAUACAAGGUGGAAUUAAUAAUAAAAUAAGUAUGACGGGGAGGCAAGUGAGUAUAGAUAAACAAAAAAAUUAUAGAUAUUCUAUUGUGAACAGAAGAAGGAGCUAUUGAUUCAGAAUUGUUAUGCUGGAAAAGUCUCUAUAUUGAACACUCUCUUAAUUUGUUAAUGCAUUGAGAGGGUCUGAGAUGGGAGAAGCUGAUAGUGAAAAUGAAUAUGUUGAUCAACCCAUGGGGAAACGACUCGGCUGGUCAAUCUAUAUACUAGAGCCUCAUUCCCCUAUUUGAUGCUUUCCGUAUGUUUAUUUAUUUUUUUGUAAUUUGUGGGGUGGGUUUGGUUUCGGGAAGGCUUAAGAGAGAAUUGGAAUACUUAAUUCUAUUUUUGGAAGCUUAAGUUGUAAGAGUUGACCAAGAUUUGACUUUUGAGUAAACUGUCACACCCCAAAACCGAGGAGCGCGACCGGCGCUCAACCAAGAGAACCCGACCGAGCAAGCCUGUUAGAUUUUCUUCUACCCAAACUCAUCCAUGAAUAAAGAAGAGAUGUACUCCAUUAAUCAAACACUGGAAAGAUUUCAUUAACAACUCCCAUUUCAUUCCUAUUUGCAGCUCCAUUCAUAAUUUUCAAAAUAUUACAAGUUUAUAGAUAUAAUGAAAAACAUGUCUGUUAAAUACCAAAUUUCUAGUUUUGACUCCCAACAUCAACCACCACCCACAACCUGUCUACAGAGCCUCUAAGUACAAUAGAAGAGUAAUAUGGAAAAUGCUGGCAACAAUACCCCGGCUAUACCUCAAAACACAGUACAUGAGAAACAAAAUAUACAUGACCCCGAAAUAAAGUGGGGCUCACCAAAUCAGCUGAAAAGAGUGUACUGCUAUCACUGAUCAAUACAGCCUGUUGUAGAACCACCUGCAUCCAUUAAAGAUGCAGCGCCCCCGGCAAAAGGAACGUUAGUACCGUCGAAUAGCACUAGUAUGUAUAGCUAAAAGUUCUCUUUUAAAAUAGAAUGCCCAUAUAAGAAAAGGCAACACAUAGAGAUAGCAAGUCACAAUCAGCAAUAUCCAAAUGUCCAGUUAAAACAUAAUAAUUUUUAAAAUACGAACAUCAUAUACAAUUUUUGAUUGGGAGAUCAUUAGCACCGAUAUUCCACCGUCUUUAUUAGCACGGAGUGCGAUCACGCCCAAUCGGCUAGGCCAUCUCCCCACGGACAAUGUGGUUUGACAGGUGAUGUGAAAGAAAGUUGUUAUCAAGAGUAGUACCACCAUGUGCGCAACAUGGAGUCCGAUCUCCACCCGAUCAGCUAGGCCGUCAUCCCACAUAUGCCGUGUGGGUUGACUUUUCUAUUCUAAUUAUUACUAAUUCAUCCCAAUUAAGGGGAAUGAUAUCAAAAUUUCAUCCCAAAUAAGGUGAAUAACCACAAUCCACCCCUACACCGGAAUGUGUAGUUUCAGAUGUGGGCCUUAUGACCCACCCUUCCUUGAUUUUACUAAUGAUGCUCCCAAAAAUAUUUUUGAUUUGAUUUGCACACAAAGGUAAUAUAAAUACAAUUGUACUCACCUCAACAUCUUUCACUUUGAAUAAAUUCUCAUUAGUAUUUCCAGUCAUUCACAACGACAAUAUUUCCUUCGCUCAUUUGACCAUUCACAAGAUUCUUUAUUCCUGGCACGAUGGUCGUAUUUCAUAUUCCGCACUUUCACCUCUUUUAAUUUCAAAGAUCACCAUCAAAUAUCAACAUAUAGAAAAUUUUAGAAACCAUAUACUUCAAAUCCAUUUGAAAUGGGAACUUCAAACACAAAUGGUUUCAUCCCAUGAAUGAGGCAUACCAACNNNNNNNNNNNNNNNNNNNNNNNNNNNNNNNNNNNNNNNNNNNNNNNNNNNNNNNNNNNNNNNNNNNNNNNNNNNNNNNNNNNNNNNNNNNNNNNNNNNNNNNNNNNNNNNNNNNNNNNNNNNNNNNNNNNNNNNNNNNNNNNNNNNNNNNNNNNNNNNNNNNNNNNNNNNNNNNNNNNNNNNNNNNNNNNNNNNNNNNNNNNNNNNNNNNNNNNNNNNNNNNNNNNNNNNNNNNNNNNNNNNNNNNNNNNNNNNNNNNNNNNNNNNNNNNNNNNNNNNNNNNNNNNNNNNNNNNNNNNNNNNNNNNNNNNNNNNNNNNNNNNNNNNNNNNNNNNNNNNNNNNNNNNNNNNNNNNNNNNNNNNNNNNNNNNNNNNNNNNNNNNNNNNNNNNNNNNNNNNNNNNNNNNNNNNNNNNNNNNNNNNNNNNNNNNNNNNNNNNNNNNNNNNNNNNNNNNNNNNNNNNNNNNNNNNNNNNNNNNNNNNNNNNNNNNNNNNNNNNNNNNNNNNNNNNNNNNNNNNNNNNNNNNNNNNNNNNNNNNNNNNNNNNNNNNNNNNNNNNNNNNNNNNNNNNNNNNNNNNNNNNNNNNNNNNNNNNNNNNNNNNNNNNNNNNNNNNNNNNNNNNNNNNNNNNNNNNNNNNNNNNNNNNNNNNNNNNNNNNNNNNNNNNNNNNNNNNNNNNNNNNNNNNNNNNNNNNNNNNNNNNNNNNNNNNNNNNNNNNNNNNNNNNNNNNNNNNNNNNNNNNNNNNNNNNNNNNNNNNNNNNNNNNNNNNNNNNNNNNNNNNNNNNNNNNNNNNNNNNNNNNNNNNNNNNNNNNNNNNNNNNNNNNNNNNNNNNNNNNNNNNNNNNNNNNNNNNNNNNNNNNNNNNNNNNNNNNNNNNNNNNNNNNNNNNNNNNNNNNNNNNNNNNNNNNNNNNNNNNNNNNNNNNNNNNNNNNNNNNNNNNNNNNNNNNNNNNNNNNNNNNNNNNNNNNNNNNNNNNNNNNNNNNNNNNNNNNNNNNNNNNNNNNNNNNNNNNNNNNNNNNNNNNNNNNNNNNNNNNNNNNNNNNNNNNNNNNNNNNNNNNNNNNNNNNNNNNNNNNNNNNNNNNNNNNNNNNNNNNNNNNNNNNNNNNNNNNNNNNNNNNNNNNNNNNNNNNNNNNNNNNNNNNNNNNNNNNNNNNNNNNNNNNNNNNNNNNNNNNNNNNNNNNNNNNNNNNNNNNNNNNNNNNNNNNNNNNNNNNNNNNNNNNNNNNNNNNNNNNNNNNNNNNNNNNNNNNNNNNNNNNNNNNNNNNNNNNNNNNNNNNNNNNNNNNNNNNNNNNNNNNNNNNNNNNNNNNNNNNNNNNNNNNNNNNNNNNNNNNNNNNNNNNNNNNNNNNNNNNNNNNNNNNNNNNNNNNNNNNNNNNNNNNNNNNNNNNNNNNNNNNNNNNNNNNNNNNCACAUCACUUAUAAUAUGCCUCGUACACUUAUUAUCAUAUCCAAUUGAUAUCCAUUAUAUUAAUAGUCCUUGUCUGCACACAAAAUAAUAUAAUGAGUGGACAUCAACUUUCUUACUAGCGCUCAAGUACUUCGAAAUUUUUAGGGGUGUUACAUUCUCCCCCACUUAAGAACAUUCGUCCUCGAAUGUUUCACAAGUCACUUCUAUGAAUAGAGUUAUCCUUCUACCUCUAACCAUUAUACAUAGGAACUCAUGACUACAUCGAUCUCAUACUUCAUUUCCAAAAUUUCAACUUACUUAUGGCCCUUAAAAAUUUGGCUAUUUUUACAAAUUCAAAAAAAAUUCGGCAAAGUUUUCCCUGUAACUGGACAUUUCCACCUGCCAGAGAAUCACCAAAAUUAUCCUAUCAAUACAUCCACAACUCGACAAAGCAUCACCAUGUAUAUCAACAUCACAAAUCUCAUCAUUAUAGGCAUUAUAUUAUCAAGAGUGAUAUCUGGACAUGAGCUGCACUGGAACAAUAGACAAAGGAUUUCCAACUACCUUCUUAGACAUAGACACAUGAAACACCGAGUACACAAAGUACAAUAAUAGGGAAACAUAAUAUUCCUAGUUUGGCCUAUUUCCUUCAAGAUUUCAUAAGGCCUAAUGUGACUACACAUACUUUACCUUCCUUAACAAUUAAUCCAAUAUAUUCAUAGAAAAUAUCUUUAGAAUAGCCCGUUCACUUUCUUCAACUCUAAAUCCCUACGCCAAACACCCAAACUAAACCUUUGGAGACCUCCAAUAAUCACUCUAAGAUGUGAUAGCUUGAAUAUGACCAUAAAACUUCCUAUCUAUUAUAUUUGAUCACUGGAUGAUGAUGCUUCUUUGACAUGUUUGAGCCUUCAACCCCCAUUGGUUUCUAUAAUUAUGAACAACAAGGUUCAAUAUUGGCUAAAAUUAUUCAAAAAUUUAUCAAGGUACUGAGCACGGCAUUUUAGGAGGUUAUAUCCUAAGAGACAUGAAGGUUACUACCAAUAGUGCUGACAUUGUUAAUCAUUGUGAUGACAUCAUUGAUUUGACACAUGAGGCAUAGAUUUGCCUAGAGGCAUAAAUGAUCAUCUUGCCAUAUUUCAUCAUUAGUGGAACAUCUAUAUCAGAUUUCUCUUUCAUAUGACCUCCUAGGAAUUGAGUCUACAAAAUUUUCCUUGAUACAGUUACAAUCUUAUUAGUACUUGCAACUUGUUUUUCCAAAUUUCCCAACAAAAGACAUUACUAGGUCAGUUUUCUUAUGGGACCAUCUAUUUCAAAUGAAUAACAUCUACUAGAUUGUGCACACACCCUGAUAACAUCAACAUGUAUGGCAUUGCCUCAAUAUGUGAAGUAACAUCGUUCCCAUACCUUUCUUAGCCACCCUCUUUUCUCCUUAUAAGUCUUAUAGGAUUUUAAGAAACCACUCUACUUCCCUCGUGAACAUUCUCAUGAUCCCUCUUUACUGCUAAAUACUUCCCAAAACACAUAUCAACAUCCUUCAUAUAUAUUUACUUCAACAAAAGUCAUUGGCCCGAACAUGGCCUUUUCUAAAACUUGAGAUCCUCCUAAAUUCUUCAACGACGCCUUCUUGUUUUCCUUAUAAGUGUAGGACUUAGUCCACCUGAUUCCAUCCUCGAUGAAUAACUCACCUUAUUCCCAGUAUUGUAGUCACCAAUAGUGUUUCCUGGUGUAGCAGCGUAAGAGCUAUCAUGUUAAACAUGUUUGGUUCGUAAUAAGUAUUCAUCCUCUCUUAAUCUGUUUCAAACAUUUUCCCUUUGGUCUAGACAAUAUGUUGGUACUACAUUUCCUUUGUGACUAGAGCAUUCACUCCCAUCCCAUUUUGCCCUUAAUUCAUAGUUGACAACCUUAUUGUGCCACACAAGUGUUUGCCUCCCAUGAACUCGUAGUAUCAUUAUGCCUAGUUUGUUGAGUUUAUCACACUACCACUUCAUCACCAGUAGUCUCACUUUCCAAUGCAAUAUGUAGACAUGAACUCCAUCUAUAUCUUUUAAUUGAUAUUCAGUGUUACUCAAGUUGACUGCAUUACAUUUGAUCUUGUAUAUCUUCUAUUAACACUUGUGCUCUAGGCGAGUCCAUCAUUCUGAUACGAACUAUUUUGCGAUAACCAUCUUGCUCAUUCUUUUCCAAUUCUUCUCGCCUCAUUUUUCCUAGUUAGUGAAUAACCAUGCGUUCUUCCAUAUGUUACGUGGUCUUUUUCCUUAGUUGGGAAUUCAUCAUGCUCACCUCUCGACACUUGUUGGGAUAUCCGUGGGAAAGUGUGUUCAUCCGUGUAUCACUUAACACUUCCUUUCUUGUAAGAUUCUUAAGAGACUCUCCAUCAAGUCCCGAUACACUCUUGGGUUAUUAUAACAUCAUAUUUAUCUCUCCCACUCAUUUUGUCUUUCUUAAAGACUUGGAACUUUAGCUAAAUCGUAAAUCCGUGAUUAACUCAUUCUAAGAACUCGCAAGCCUUUCACAUUUGAUCUGUAAUACUUCCUUGGGUUCCAUUGUCCCUGACUCUCUAACAAGUAUAAAACCCUUUUGCAAACCUUACUCUUAGUUUCUAGUAUCGUUGACCUUGUCAUGUAUAUUGCCACGUACGAAGAAUUUACAUUUCCUAACCUUUCACAUUAUUUUCGUACUAGUGGUUUAUCAUUUGCAUACCCUCUCAGAGAAUCACGUUACCCCUUACCACUUUUCUAUACUACACAUGUCUUCAACAAAAUAUCCAAACAUCAUAGCUACAUGGCUCUACUCUCAUUUUAUCGAACUUAAGUAGCCUCACCAUGGCCCUCCCCUCCCCACUUGGGGUGAAUGAUUCACAUUUUGACACAAGUCUUGAAUUUAGCAAUUUGAAGGAGACAUGUUUCACAUCUCUAGUCCUCCUGUAUAUGAUUGACUAUUAGGGAGAUUUAAGUCCCCAUGAUAUUAACCUCAUAAGUUCUCUACUCUUAUUCAGCCACAUAGGCUUGCGAUCCAAAUCCUUCGUGUCAAUAUCCUUUUUGGAGUGUAACACAACUUCGCACAUUCUUGGGAUUUUUUUAUAACAUUCCUAGUGCUAGGGUUUUCUCAUUGUGGGUUCAAUUGACUCUCCUUUCAUAACUUCUUGUCUCCCGUGUGAGACCUACACAUUUAUCAUUACUCUCCAGGCCAUGCCUUUCAUAUAUCACGUGCCUAUGUAAUAAAUUUACAUCUUUGAAUCAUACACAUGGUUCCCACACUAUCCACAUGUACUAGUUAAGCUUAGGCCUCAUUUAUCACGGCAAUGCCUCUUUGGAGGUGGGUAAUCACUUCUAGUACUCUUCUCAUAUAAAGUAUGCUCAUGGUACUAUAUACUUGUCUCGUAUGGUCAUACUAUUCAUUCAACAUGAUACAUGUGCUAUCUGUUUAAUAUUCAGGCCUUUACCCUUUCGUCAUGUCACAUGAUAACAUUACUUGAAAUAAACCAAAAGAGAAUUUAAACUUACCUUGAACCUUAACGCACGAGUUGGAGGAAGAACAGUUUCACAACCAGUUUCAUCGCACGAUUCAGAAUAUCAAAGAAGGGUAUUAUUCCUAAAUGUCCAUGUAGCAUCCUAAUUAUAGAUGUGGUCGACAACACACAAUAAUAAGGACUCUACUAGACACGGCUCCGAGACAUCCUAGGACACUUUAAAACCUUAGGCUCUGAUACCAAGUUUGUCACGCCCCAAAAUCGAGGAGCGCGACCGGUGCUCAACCGAGAGAACCCGUCGAGCAAGCCUGUUAGAUUUCCUUCUACCCAAACUCAUCCAUGGAUAAAGAGGAGAUGUACUCCAUUAAUCAAACACUGGAAAGAUUUCAUUAACAACUCCUAUUUUAUUCCCAUUAGUAGCUCCAUUCAUAAUUUCCAAAAUAUUACAAGUUUAUAGAUAUAAUGAAAAACAUGUCUGUCAAAUACCAACAUUUCUAGUUUUGACUCUCAGCAUCAACCACCACCCACAACCUGUCUACGGAGCCUCUAAGUACAACAAAAGAGUAAUAUGGAAAAUGCCGGCAACAAGGCCCUGGCUAUACCUCAAAACACAGUACAUGAGAAACAAAAUAUACAUGACCCCGAAAUGAAGUGGGGCUCACCAAAUCAGCUGAAAAGAGUAUACUGCUAUUACUGAUCAAUAUAGCCUGUUGUAGAACCACCUGCAUCCAUUAAAGAUGCAGCGCCCCUGGCAAAAGGGACGUUAGUACCGUCGAAUAGCACUAGUAUGUAUAGCUAAAAGUUCUCUUUCAAAAUAGAAUGCCCAUAUAAGAAAAGGCAACACAUAGAGAUAGCAAGUCACAAUCAGCAAUAUCCAAAUGUCCAGUUAAAAUAUAAUAAUUUUUAAAAUACGAACAUCAUAUACAAUUUUUGAUUGGGAGAUCAUUAGCGUCUAUAUUCCACCGUCUUUGUUAGCACGGAGUGCGAUCACGCCCGAUCGGUUAGGCCAUCUCCCUACAGACAAUGUGGUUUGAUAGGUGAUGCGAAAGAAAGUUGUUACCAAGAGUAGUACCGCCAUGUGCGCAACAUGGAGUCCGAUCUCCACCCAAUCAGCUAGGCCGUCUUCCCACAUAUGCCAUGUGGGUUGACUUUUCCAUUCCACAAUUAUUACCAGUUCAUCCCAAUUAAGGGGAAUAAUAUCACAAUUUCAUCCUAAAUAAGGGGAAUAACCACAAUCUACCCCUCGAUUUUAGGUGUGGGCCUUAUGACCCACCCUUCCUCGGUUUUACUAAUGAUGCUCCCAAAAAUAUUUUUGAUUUGAUUUGCACACAAAGGUAAUAUAAAUACAAUUGUACUCACCUCAACAUCUUUCACUUUGUAUAAAUUCUCGUUAGUAUUUCCAGACAUUCACAACGACAAUAUUUCCUUGGCUCAUUUGACCAUUCACAAGAUUCUUUAUUCCUGGCACGAUGGUCGUAUUUCAUAUUUCGCACUUUCAUCUCUUUCAAUUUCAAAGAUCACCAUCAAAUAUCAACAUAUAGAAAAUUUUAGAAAUCAUAUACUUCAAAUCCAUUUGAAAUGGGAACUUCAAACACAAAUGGUUUCUUCCCAAAGAAUGAGGCAUACCAACCAACAAUAGAAACACAUAUAAAAAAUUAUAAACAAUCAAUACACCAUUUACUCUUUCUAUACUCUUCCCCAGAAAUGACAAUGUACAAUUUCAACACAUGAGUAUAUAGAACUCGAAUCACACUGGAUAUAUUUUUAAAGUAAAACAUUAGUUAAAACAGCCACUAAUGGGCAUGAAUUGAAUACAAAAGCUUUUAGGCAAAUUCUAUUUUUCAAAUCACUUUUAACACCGUUGAGUCGAGACUCAUUUCAUAUUCUUUAUCUAAAUCAUUUGCACUACUAGCCAUAGUCAUAACUUAAAUUCUUGGCACGUUUACCACACUCUAUAUCCCUAAUACAAUUAUUUCAUUUCCAACCACCUUUAUAGGUUAUCAACAAUAAGACAUUUACAAUCAAGACUUUAGGUACACAUAUGAGCAAUUAUGAGUCUUAAGCAUCUCGAGUAUUUCUCACCCAAUUGGUAUACUAGUUUUCAUUUAAAACACGACUCAAAGCCAUAACAUUUUAAUACACAAAUCAUACUUUGAACAUCGACUUAUCGACAUAAGGCUCAUUCGGAAUAAUCAAGUUUAUAGGGAAUAACCCGGAAUAUAGAAGUUAGGAAUCUUGAUCCAAUCAUACUUGAUCUUACGGAAACAUUAUGGAAUUCGAUUCUAAGAGAGAAAGUUUAGCCAACAUACCUCAAAUUCUUCUCUUAAUGAUACUACAAUGAUGCACUACACUAAUCAACUUCAAUCUACAAUAACAACAUCCAAUGAGACCAAUAUUAGUAACAAAUCCCAUAGGUUCAUUGUAUUCAUAAAUUUCAUCGCCAAGAUUACCAAUCACCUUCUCUCUUAUUUUCUCAAAAGUACUAUUCAUGCCAUGAACUAGAGUUUUAUAAUCCAAUCUUUCAACCAUUAAAACUUGUAACAAAUGCUUCAAAUACUUCUAACUACUCAUAAUAAAUGAGUUUGAAGCAUUGGAAUUACCUCUAGUAGAUCAAUCUUGAAAAAUCACAACUUCGGUGAUUUUUGUGUUCUUGAGGAUUUGAUGAUGAAAUCUUAUAUUUGGAUGUAAGAAUCAUGUUUAGAACUCAUGUAUAUUGAGUAAUAAUCAAUCCAAAACNNNNNNNNNNNNNNNNNNNNNNNNNAUCAUUAACAAUUACCUUGGUCGAUUGGACUUGAUUUGAGCUCAAAAUCGCCCCUUCACUUCAAGAACCCUAACCCCAAAUACACAAAAUACCCUUUUUACCCGACCUUGUAUUUAUAGGCCCAGAUUUCUGGGUUUCGAAUGCGGCCCUGGAUGCUUCGCAUCCCCACUUCACUCCUCUUUGAAGCUCGGAUACGGACCUGGACGCUAUGGCAGCACUUCACUAUGAGCCUCUCUUUCGGACGUGGCCUCAGAUGCUUCGCAUCUGCAGGCUCCUCCGCCAGCCUUUGGUAAUUUGGUCAUAACUUCUUGUAGGAAUGUCCAAAUGACAAACGGUUUAAAGCGUUAGAAACUAGACUCAAAGACCUUUAAUUGGAUAGAUCAUACAUCACUUUACUCCUUAUAAAUAUAUAUAUAUAUAUAUGCUCGUUCAAAGUUUAGUCUUGUGCGUACUCAUUUGGAACUUUAGUCUAUCAUGAAAUUUCUAACUUGACUUGGACUUAGGGCUCUCCUUAGACCCACAUCACUUAUAAUAUGCCUCGUACACUUAUUAUCAUAUCCAAUUGAUAUCCAUUAUAUUAAUAGUCCUUGUCUGCACACAAAAUAAUAUAAUGAGUGCACAUAAACUUUCUUACUAGCGCUCAAGUACUUCAAAAUUUUCUGGGGUGUUAUAUAAACGUUCUCGAAUUUGUAAUUUGAUGAUUCCAAUAGUUUUGGAUGGUAAUCUUGGACUUGACCGUAUGUUCGGAUUUGGAUUUAGAGGUUCCUAGAAGGUUUUGGCUCUAUUUGCCGAAAGUAAGUAAUUUGAAGGAUUGGAGAGUUCAGACGUUUGACAAGAAGUUAACUUUGAUGUUAUCAAAGUUCGAUUGGUUUUUCUAGACUUUGAAUAGAUUUAUUUGGCUGUAUGGAACUUGUGUGCAAAGUUUGUUUGUAAUCCGGAAUGUGUAAGUGAAUUCAUAUGGAUUCGGCAAAGUUUGAACUUUUUUAAGUUAAGAGACGAAUCUGAUCUUCGAUUCUUGGUUUUAAGGUUGUUUUUUAUGUUCUGAGCCUCGGUACAAGUUUGUAGGAAGUAUAUGGACUAGUUAAAACGAUUAGACGGGGUCGCGGGGGGGAUCAAGAGUGUUUCAGGAUGGUUUCAACCAUUUUGGUUAAGUUUGGAGCAGUUGAUUUGCUGUUGUGCUGUAGUGCUUCACGAUCGCGGAGGAGGAUUUGGCCUGUUGUACUUUGUCAAUCACGUUCGCGGUCAGGAGGUCGAGAUCAUGUAGGCUUGUGGGCAGGUGAUCAUCGCAUUUCUCAUGGGAGAACUAGAACAAAUAUAAUCUCCGUUUGAAUAUGCGAUUAUCAUUAGUGGACUAGCUUAUAUUUGUUCCUCAAAACUAACGACUUUCAACUUCUUAAUUUUACCCAUUUAAAACAAAAUUUCUUAUUAAGACAGAGUAUUAUUAUGCAAGACGAUAAUAUUGACCACAAAAUUAUUUUGUAAAAUGUUUUAAACAUAAAAAUUACACAGAUCCGAAAUAGUUAAAGAGCCGAAAAAAUCUAACUGCUCCUCAUAUUCAUGUCUUUUCCCUAUUUAAUUUUUUUACUCUCCUGAAAUUUUACAUUUAUUAAACAGAAUACCAAUUAUAGAAAACCAAUUAUUUUUAUGGAACUAAAUAAUCUUCAAGAAAACAAAUACAAAUUAAAAAAUUUAAUUUAGUGAAAAAUAUAACAACAACAACAACAACCAACAACCUAGUAUAAUUUCACUAGUGGGGUCUGGGGAGGGUAGUGUGUACGCAGGCCUUACCCCUACCCUGAGAUAGAGAGGUUGUUUCCGAUAGAUCCUCGGCUCCCUCCCUCCAAGAACUACCCACCUUGCUCUUGGGGUGACUCGAACUCGUGGAGGGUGCUUACCAUUAGAGCAACCCACUCUUGUCUAAGGUGUGCCUGGAAAAUAACCUACCCACUAAAUUAAUUUAGUGAAAAAUAAUUUUAAAAAAUGAAAAUAUUGCAGAGAGUUAUUAUAUACACUUAACAAGAAGUUAUAAUCUUGCUGAAGAAGUUGUGAUUGCUAUCAUGCCAAAAAGAACAAAAUCCAUCAAAUAUUAAUUUUAUUUCUUUUGAGCUAAAUUUAUGCAUAUAGUUAUAAUUGCAUAGACAAAUAAGUAUUAAUUUUCAGAGACAGAAAUCGAAAGAGAGAAGACUUAUUAGUUAUCCUUUGAGCAAAGUAAAAUAUUUUGUGAAUAUCUGCUUUUGACAUGUAUUUCUGAAAUAAAAAAAUUCUACAUAUUCUUUUUUUUCUUCCUUUUGUUAUUUUAGAAAUAGAAAUUAAAUUUUUGAUUCUAAAAUAAAAGAGUUAACCCAAAAAUAAAUUCAGUUAGUGUUGAAUGCAAAUAUAAAUUAAUUCACUCAUGAUAAAGAUAAUUUUUGGAUCAAACACAACAAUGGCGGCAGUCAGAAGGAAACAGAGCAUCACAAUGGCCUCGAAUCUUCUGAAAACCCUAACAGGAAGAUCUUUCAAUUUCCCCUCAAAUUCGAGAAGCCUUAGCGGUGAGAUCAUCACCUCCCACACUGCCAAGUGGAUGCAGGUAUUAUAGAUGUUCCUUUCUCUAAUUAGUUUUCCCCAAAAUUUUCUCCAGUACGAAAUGAUGAUGGAUAUAUUAUUCCGUUUUUUUUUUUUUGUGUGUGUGUGUGUGGCUGUUCACCAUUGCUUUUUGGAGUUUAAUUUAGUUCCUAGCUUAUUGAUUCACAAUUAUCUCUGAAACUGAAAUGAGUCAGAUCGAAUUUCCGGAACCUGGAGAAAUAAAGCAAAUAGUUACGGCUAGUCAUAUUUUAAUACCCUAAGAAGCUUAACUACAGAAAAAGUUAACACUGUGGAACAACUAUGUUUGUUUAUAAAAAAGGGAGAAGGACUAGUUUUCUUCUUCUCCUUUCAUUUUCUUAAUCUCUCCCGGUCAACUUGACAACUUUAACAAGGGAACAAGAAUUAUAUAAGUAAGAGUUGUAUCUGAAGUGUGCUUUUCCGAAGCUGGUUGUGUAACAUGUUGGGGUCAAUUUUAUAUCUUGUGCAAAAAUUAAUUUUAUAUCUUGUGCAAAAAUAAGGGAACAUUGUCUAUAUAUUGAAAUCUAUGCUAAAUGGUAUCACGCAUGCACACACUUACAAAUGAAUAGAUCUUAAAACUGACGGCUCAAGCUAGGUAUAUCGUGCUAAAAGCUUCUUGUUUAUUUGAGUUUUAGCAAUACCAUAUGGUGUAAUUCAGAUGCUUCUAAUGCAUGACUAUCAUCCUACUAUCUGAUUGAUUCGUUAGAUAGUGAAGAUUGUUCUAUCCUCAAAAGUAGUCAGUUGAGGACUAAGAAUGUUACGGCAGAUGUAAAAUUGCAUAGAGAGAGAAAUGUAUACUCAUCAUCGGAGCAACUGGAGGAAUAAAGCUACUGAUGGGAUAACCAUGUAAAUCGGGUAAUCUUUAUGUUUGGAGGAUUGCAUGGAGAAAGAUUAAAAUUUCAAUGGUAAAAUUUUCCAUUUAUUUGAAUGGGACUCUUCGCAGAUUCUUUGGUAGCUUGGGGGGUAAGAAAUUCCUUUGUCUUUGUGAUUUUUGAAAUGGAGGCACUCAUUAGACCAAGGAAAAUAACGUGUCAUUGAGGGAAUCGGGGUAGGUGAUGAGAAAAGGGGAAGAAUGGUUAUCUCUCACCCAUUAUUUGUUGGUACUCUAAUCUCUGUGGGCCAUAGGCUUGAUAGCUUCAUACCUAUUCAGAAGUUUGACAUGGUUCAAAAUUGUGUUAGAGCUGCAUAUUUAUAGAGGAAUAAAGUAGUGCCAAUGGGUGUUAAUGAUUUAAACUUUUGUGUUGAAAGAGGAAAGACCUUUUUAUAAUAAAUAGAAAAGACUUUUUAGCUUAUUUUGGACUGUGCUAUACAUAAACCUUUGGUAAAGAUUUUCUUUUUAUUUUUUAAAUCGAAGCGAUAAAGGGCUGAAUCUCAGUCGAUCAUGGCACAAUACAUGAAUCUUCUUAGUACUUAUUCUGGAAAAAAUACACAAUUCUUAUUAGUUCAUGAAUUAGGAGCUAAAAAGAUGCAUGCAUCUAUUGCUUAUUCAUGUAAUCAGGAAAAAGGUAAAAUGUAGUCUUAAAUGAUACUAGACUAUAUAUAUAUUAAGGUGUCCAUGUGUUCUAGUCAUUUUGUUCAAAUCAAGUUGAGUGAAGUAAUUGAAUCAUAGUUUCCUCCACUUGUCAUCCUGCAAUUUGAGUAAUUGACUGUGCUUCUAUUCUCCAAAACUCUAACAUUUCCAUCAAAGAAAAUUUUCUUAGGUACAUGUGAGAGUUCAAAAUUCUUGAAGGCUAAGAGAUAUUCUUGAAAAUUUGAAAGAUAAAUAAAUCUGGUCUUCAUCCAAUUCCUGUUUGUGCCAUGUUCUUGUAUGUACAAGAGGCUAACAGGUGGGAAAUGAGGAUGAGAGCUUUUCCUUUUUUUUUUCCUUCAGAAAGUAAGGUAUUUUAUUGUAACCAGCAUCUACUGAACUCUUCGGAAUAUGCAUUGCAAAAGCAAAAAGUCAACUUUUUUUGUGCACAUGUGUGGAGUUGAGGAAGUCUAAUAAGCAGUGUAGCUCCAUUACGUCAAGAUAUUUGCACCAAAAAGCUAAAGAAGUACAUUGUAAAUAUCUGUGGUGUUUCUUGGCCAAUGCCUAAUAGCACAAGGGGUCUACUGAAGUGCUGGCAGGGACCGGAGAUGAAGAAGACUUGAAACAAAUCUGGAUUGCUAUUUCUCUAUGCAUUCUUUGGACUCUUUGGUUGGAGAAAAAUAAAACUUGUUUUGAGGGAAAAAGCCGUAUCUCUUGAAUGAAGAACAAAUGUUUGCAUAAUCAUUUUUUCUGGUGUAAGAGUAGGCAAAUUGGUAGUAGGGAGCAGUAUAUGGAUUUCUUGUAACUGUUACGAGGAAGAUAGCAGUUGCAAAUGUGAUAUAGUACAGUAUCUUCUGGUCUGUCUUGAGUCCUGUACUUUUUCAUACCAUAUUUGUACCGUUGUUUAAUAAUACCUUUGCCAAUAAAAAAAAAGGUUCUUCUGGCCAGCUGGGGCGUUAGAGGAAUGCGUAAAUCAGUAAGGAAAAUUUGGAAUACAGUGCCAGCAUGUGUGUGUUGGAUAAUAUGGAAGGAAAGGAAUGCAAGAUGCUUCGAAGGGAAAAUAGAGGGUAUACCGAAGAUUAAGUACACUUGCUUAUGGUUUUGGCUUUUUGGUGUAAUCUACAGGAUGUUCCAGAUGGAUAGUAUGCUUGACUUUGACUCACUACGGAGUAGGAUUUUGUGUCGGUGGAAUCUUCUCUCUUUUGCUUUGUACGGAAUGGUUCCAAAUUUGUAUUUUCCUGGCAUUAACUUAGUGCCAGAUUUCUGAUUUAAUAUAAUUGCUACUUUACCGGUUAAAAAAAAAAUUCCACUAUCUCUUAAUUGAUUUGUUCUUCUCCUCUAGCGUUACACCAAUUACCAUUGAUUUAUCAAAUUUGAUUGUACCUUUUAUGCAUAUUGAUCAUUUUUAGAAAAGUUUUGUUUUACUGUCAGUCUGUCACCUUGAUUUAACCAUAGACAUCUUGAUUCUUGUCUCCAAAAGAUUUCUUCCUUUUCACUACAUCAUCAAUUUCUAUGAUUAGACAGGCCUCUGGGCAGUUCCUUUUUUUCUGCUUCCCUAUCCAUCUCCUGUAAUUUCUCUAACACUUCUGUUUUCUUCUUCUCUAAGUUCCCAAAGGAGCUGAAGUCCCAUUCCUUAAGGUUCGCGUUUAGCAAUCUAAAUUUUCCUUUGUUUUUAUUCACCAUUGUUGAAGUCAAUACUCUCUUAUCUGCCUAGUAUUAUGUCUUCAUUUUGUGUAUAUGCGGCUGAUGUAGAUAGGUUAUAGGAAAUGAUGACAAGCUUCUUGUGGAGGUUGGAGGAAAGAUGUUUCACUAGGUAGAUUAUGGAUACUAAGAAAAUAUUAACCGUUUAUUUGGUGGUUGAAGAGUUGGAUUAGCAACCUUGAUAGCAGAGUCCAAAGGGGUGGCCCGGUGGUUGAAGAGUUGGAUUAGCAACCUUGAUAGCCAAUGUUUGAAUUCCAACAGAGUUGACACUAGGUGAAUUCUUCUUAUUUGCCCAAGUCUUGGUGGGUAAUUGGAUAUAGUUACCCGACAGGUGGUAGCGGGUUGCAGUACCAGGUGAAUUAAUAUAGGUGUAUGCAAGCUGAUCCAUGCGUAGAUAUUUGGAACUUUUAUAAAAGAUGUACAUGUAUUUGGAAUAACAUGACAUGUGGUUAAGCUACCCAUUCACUUUGCACAUACUUUCUUGGUCUGUUAGAGGGAUUUUAAUUUUUCUUUUUAAACUUGUUGACUAUCUAAGUUAUUCCAUGCUCAUAGGUAAAGGGAAUUUCUUCAUUCCCUCAAUUCGGUUUGGUGUGGAGCCCAGAGGGCUCGGGUGAGUUUCAGAUUGAUUUGGGUUGGUUUCUUAGCAGUUGGUGUAAUGGUCCUGCAGUUAUUGCAAAUGCGAGCACCAUUUCGCAUUUGCGGUCACCGCUUUUGCGAAAUACUUAUCGCAUUUGCAAAGCCACCCUCGCAAAUGCGAAUUGGGAUUGGACUGGGGCAUCUCGCAUUUGCGACCAUUUGGGCCACUUUUGCGAAGGGGCCAACUUCGCAAAUGCGAAGUCAGUGUCGCAUUUGCGACAUCCUCUAGGAUCUGCAGGCAUCGCUUUUGAGAUGGAUUUUCCGCAUUUGCGGGGUUCGCCAGGCCGCACUUGCGAGACCUGCAUCUGAGCAAUAAUGGGAUUUCGGGACUUAGCUUCAUUUAUCACAUUUUAGAACCCUAGACUCGGUGGGAGGCGAUUUUGAGAAGAGAUUUUCAUACACAACUAUUGGGUAAGUGAUUUUAAUCCACUUUCAAUUAUAUUGCAUGAUUGUUUAUGAGAUUUAACAUCUAUUUCAUGAGAAUCUAAGAGAAAUUUUUGGGGGGCUUUUGUCUAUGUUUUGAAAAAUAAAAAUUUGAGAUUUGAGAGUCGAAUUGGACUCGGAUUUGAAAAUAAAACACAUAUAUGGACUCGUGGGAUUAUGGAUAGUGAAGAUCUAUCAUUGGACUCGGGUUUUGACCGGUGUGUCAGGGGUUGACUUUUGUUGACUUUUGGGGAAUUGUGUAAGAUCUUAACUUUAAUUAUCAGAUUUGGUUUCUCUUGCAUUGUUUGAUGAUAUUAAGUCGUUUUUGUUAGAUUUGAGUCGUGUGGAGGCGAAUUUUAAAGGAAAAGCUACUUUUGAGAGUUGAUUUGGCCUAAUUGAGAUUAGUAUCUUGCCUAACUAUGUGGGGGAAAACUUACCCCGUAGGAUUUCGUUUAAUUGCACUAUUUGAAUUAUGUGGAAGACGUGUACAUGGGGUGACGAGUGUGUGCACGGGCUUAUAUGUGAAAAUUGACCGGUUUAGAUUCUUAGGUUACUUGAAUGCAUUUAAUUGAAGUUAUUAUUACAUGGAAUAUCUUUAAUUGUUGAGUUUAUUCUUCCGUUUCAUUGCGUUGUUGUUGAAACUCUUGUAUACAUUGUUGUUGAGCCGUGGGCUAUGCGCUGUUGUGAUAUUGGUAUUGUUGGUUUGGCUAUGUUGUGGCAUAUGGGCACGUGUGGUGCGAGUUGAUUAUUGUGUUGUGAUGAGAUGCGCAUCCGGCGGCAUAAGGGUGGUGAUAUUAAUGCGCAUGCGGCGAGAUAAAGGGGUUUUAUGCGCAUGUUGCUAGUAAGGGGAAUUACUUCAUUUUGAAGCACACAUAGCGAGAUAUGAGGGCUAAAGCGUGUGAAGCUAUUUCGGGAAAAAUAUUUUUAAAAUUAAUGUAAGGCUCACGCGGCGUUAUAAGGAAAAGUUGUAAUUUGUGAUUAUGAGGUAUGGUACCUCGGGGUGAUUCCUGUUGUAAACUUCUUGUUGGUAUGGCUUGAUUAGUUGAACUGCCAUUUGUUUUCCUUAAUCGAUUUCGUUCAUAUUUUAACUGUGUUCUUAUUAUUUUGUUGUUUUAUCACAUGCUUACUUUUGUUGUCACUUAUCUAUUCAUUUUUGCUUUCCGUUGUUAGCUUUAUAUUUAUAUAUUUGCCCAGAUUUUUAUGUCUAAUGAGUGUCUUGACUCGAAGCUCGUCACUACUCCACCGAGGUUAGUCUUGAUACUUGGGUUCUGAUUGUGGUGUAUGCAUAAUAUGCUUCUGCACAUUUUUGUGCAGAUCCAGGUACCUUGGAGCGUGCUGGAUGUUAGCUAGCUGUUUGAGAUUUACUGUGGAGACUUCAAGGUAUACAUGUCAUUUCGCUCGCAUGCCUCGGAGUCACCUUCUAGGGCUUUACUUUACUACUGUUUACUUUCAUUCCAAAACAGUGAUGUAAUUGAUAUUCCUAGUUUACUCUCACCAGAGCUUAUGACUCUGUACUACCGAUUUUGGGAUGUGUUACUGUUGGUCAUUUUGACUAUGCUAUGCCACUUAUCCAUUUUCGAUUAAUAGUUAAUUGGAUUUAAUCUGUUAAUCUCAGCAUGUAUUAGGCUUACCUAGUCAUAGAGACUAGGUGCCAUCACGAUCCUAGAGGCGGGAUUCGGGGUCGUGACAUCAAACACCCACACAAGUCUAAAGACAUCAUAUGAGCUAGCUCGCUCGAUCAAAACGCCAAAAUAACAUCCGGAACCACGAAUCGGACACCAAAACACAUAGAAAAUUACAUUGAACUCAAGAAUAGCUAAAAACACAACCAUGCAUUCGAUUCAUAUCAAACCAACUCGGAAUGACACCAAAUUUUGCGGACAAGUUCCAAAUGAAAAAACUGACAUAUUCCAAGUCUCGAAACUAAAAUUCAAACCCGUUAGCCAUAAAAUGAACAUAAAACGGUCAAUCUUUGGUAAUUUCUAAACCUUCAAAUUGCCAAUUUCCAGCAAAACAAGCCAAAUCAACCUAGGAACUUCUGAAUUCAAUUUCGAGCAUACGCCUAAGUCCGAAAUCACCAUUCGGACCUAACGGAACCGUCAAAACUCCGAUCCAAGAUCAAACACACAAAAGUCAAACUUGGUCAACUCUUCCAACUUAAAGCUUUCUAGUCGAGAAUCAUUCUUCCAAAUCAAACCACUCGAAAACCAAAACCAACGAUAUACGCAAGUCAUAGUACACCAUAUGAAGCUACUCGUGACCUCAAACCACCAAACUGAAUGCAAAUGCUCAAAACGACUGGUCGGGUUGUUACAUUCUCCCCCACUUAAACAUACGUUCGUCCUCGAACGUGCCAAGAGUCGUCCCAAAGUCAUCAAAUCAUUGUAUAAACAUUCAUACCCAUACCUAUGGGUGAUCUCACGUUAUCCCUAUCCAUAUAAGUCUGACAACACAAUCUAACCGAAAAUCUUUACUUAACAUUAGCUCACAACCUUUAGAACCCAAUCUCCAACUUCCGAAAUUUAUUAUAAGGCCCGAUUCUCGCAUCUAUACGCUGUAUAAGUCUGAAUCAAGCUACAUCAAGCUGUAAUCAUAUCCCAAGUAUAAUUACAUGAUAUUCCACAUAACCCAGAUACACAUAGCAAUAGCUUCCGAUCAUAAUAGCUGCUCAAAUAGCAAACCCGGUACCGAUAUCCAACCUCCUAUCAGUAAAAACCUUGUUCCAAAUCUUUGUACGCUGCCAAUGAUGAAAGAGACACGCAAAAACUCAUAACUAUCCAUCACAUCAACAAGUCACGGAGCUCUCUUGCCCGACAAGAACCAUAGCCAAAAUCUAAGUUGACUAGUGACACUGUUCUUCCAAGCAUACCUUAAUCAAAUCCGAUGACACUCAUUUCAGGCCCAAUAACUUUACCUCAUCCAAUACAAGCUGCUCUACCAACAUGCCACACCAAUCCUACCUAGAGCCACAUACCAUGCAAUCCGUGCACCAAACAAGCGACAACUCGAAUGUUCCCAAUGAUGGAAAGAAAUCAAAUGAGAGAACCGCCCCGCAAGCUCAGCAUAUACCACCACGAAGCGCAAUGCUAUGAACCCAUCACACAACGAUGAAACAAAACACGAAAUAAGCACAAAGGAUCAUAUUCCAACAUAACUCCGCUGCGAUGCGUAACCCAAUCCAAACACCGGUUCACAUGGAAUACGUCGAGCCAUGAUGCUCACAAUCAACAACCAUAUGCAUAUCAACAACAAACACGCGAAGCGCAUGACCAUACCAUGGAGAUACAGAUAUCACUAUAUACCACAAACUGGAAGACCAUAAUCAUGGCACAAUCAACCAUUCAACACCUCAAGAGCCAUCUCGCUCGAAUUUCACCACAAAGCCCAAACAUAACCACAUCAUGUGUGUAAAUAGUCAACAAUCUCAUAACUCAUCGUGGCAUAGAAAGGUAACACAUGGAACACAUUAGAACACGAAUAAGAUCCACUCCGACCGAUAACACACCCCUCCACAAUAACUGUGCUGAGUAGACAAAUCCAACUCGAUGUAGAACAUACAUUCUCGUUAGGCCUACCAGUGGCCUCCAAAUCAAUUCCGAUCCUCCCGAAAUAGGUAGAUAACCUCCGAAAGCCCACAAUAACAUAUCCAUAGCACACACACUCAGUCGUCAACCUCUUAACAUGCCUUUAUCGUUCAGUCGUUCACAACCAUGUAACAAUCUGCCUCUGAGAACCCUCUUAGUCUUCAAAUCCUUAGAAUACCAGAAUCUCCAUAUCCGAUCCCAACUACACUACCUAAAUGACUGACACAUUCCUCAUACACGAUCAUUCCACGAGAAAUACUUCCAUAAUUCUUAUGUCACAUAGCAAAAUCUAACAUUAGCAGUCGAUCAAUCAGGCGAUUACCGUAAUACCAGUAGGCAUCCGCAAGUCGAAGCACAGUGCGCACCUUUCUCAAGUGGUAUCAAAUAAUGCUAGCAUUCUUCUAAACAUCUGAAAUCGUCCAUGCUAUCUAGAACUCGUGACCUCAUACAUUAGAAAAAUCAUAACAUGCAACAUGUUCCUUAUGCCGGUAGCAGACAUCCGGCUCAAGCCGGGGUCGACACUAUCAAGAACUCUUCGAAACCCGCCCGCUCAUAACCAAGCCAUCAUAAUUGAAUUUCCCCAGCUCAACCAAGUUAUGCAAGCCGUCAAACCCAAGAGUAUUGCCACAAAACACCAGUAAAAUAUCACCACACCAAAGGAAUCAAUAACCUUUAUUACAAUGUUGACCCUACUCCACCAAGCUGACCCAUUUCUUCGAAUCCUCCUCGACUUGCCUUCAAGUUUAACACUUCUUCUUGCCGGUACACUACGAUCCUAAACCAAAGAUCACCGCAAGAGAUCCUGGCACGAACCACGUCGUCCGAAAGCCUAUAAAUCACUGUAUUUCCUUUGAAACACCCAAUAAUGCCGCAACCAAGAUAUCCACUCUGAAGAGACCUUCUGUGAAUCUGAAAGAUGUUUCUCUAACAUCUGAUACUGAAAUGUAAAAUUAAUAAUGACACGGAAAUACUGCAAGUCUCAGUACUAUCCCAUGCAAACCUCAGAUCUUAGCCAUAUACAAUUUCGGGGAACCCUCUCAUACCACAUAUAUACCUCAGACCAAAACUAAUAUAACACAUGACCAUGCAAUCUAAUCGUCGAUAGCAGACUCCCCCACUUGGCGCGAAGCCAUAGGACACAACAUCCAGUGAUCCACAAUACCAACAACCUUCAUAAGCUCGUAUAACAUCAAUCAUAAGAUACCUCAAAUCAUUUACUAAGCGCAUAUCCAUCUUCGUGACAGUCAAGUUUGUUUCCUCAAGUGCCUCGAAUGAUAAUAUGUACCUUCCACUGAAUAGAAGUCCCAUACAAAAUACAUAACCUCUAAUACCAUUGACUACCUCAAAUCAACAUUCUCCCAUGACCCUACCACGAUCAUAACAACUAGGCAAUCAAUUAAAUCCUCCCUAGCUCGUACUCACCAACCAAAUACCAGAACCCGCUGCAUCCCACACGUGAACAACUGGAAGAUCUACCAACACAUCCGCGUCCUCAGUCUAGAGACAAUGAUCGAGCAUCCAUAGCCCCCUUCUAGCCCAUCCGCAGCAUCACAAACCGUCGGUGCUUAGCUGAUACCCAGUGCGCAACAUCAUAUAUGAGUGAAUGUUAAAGAAUAUAAGAUAUACGUAUCAAGCUGAAUCAAUGCCGCACGAUAAGGAAUGAAAGAAGUGGAAUUUCUUAAUAGUUCCGUAGCCUCUCGAAGAUGAGCACAGACGUCUCCGUACCAAUCGCAAGACUCUACUAAACUUGCUUAUGACUCAUAGAACCUAUGAACCUAGAGCUCUGAUACUAACUUAUCACGACUCCAAAUCCCACCUCUAGGAUCGUGAUGACACCUAGUCUCUAAGACUAGAUAAGGCUAACACAUGCUGACAUUAACAGAUUAAAUCCAAUUAACUAUUAAUCGAAAACGGAUAAGUGACAUAGCAUAAUCAAAAUGACCAACAGUAACAUAUCCCAAAACCGGCAGUAUAGAGUCCUAAGCUCUACUGAGAGUAAACUAGGAAUAUCAAUUACAUCGCUGUUUUGGAAUGAAAGUAAACAGUAGUAAAGUAAAGCUCCAGAAGGUGCCUGCGAGCGUAAUGGCAAGUAUACCUUGAAGUCCGCAGCAAAUCUCAUAUAGCUAGCUAACGUCUGGCAUGCUCCGAGGUACCUGGAUCUGCACAAAAAUGUGCAGAAGCGUAGUUUGAGUAUGCCACAAUCGGUACCCAGUAAGUAUCAAGAUUAAUCUCGGUGGAGUAGUGACGAGGUUCGAGUCAAAACACUCACUAGACAUAAAAACCUGGGCAAGUAUAUCAAUAUAAAGCAAAAAUGAAUAGAUAAGUGACAAUAAAAGUAAGCAUAACAUAUGAUGAAUCAAUUAAGGAAAACAAAUGGCAGUUCAACUAAUCAAGCCAUACCAACAAGAAUCACCCCGAGGUACCACACCUCAUAAUCAAAUAUCACUAGUCACAACUCUUCCUUAUAACGUCGCGUGAGCUUUACAUUUAUUUUAAAAAUAUUUUUCCCGAAAUAGCUUCAUGCGCUUUAGCCCCAUUAUCUCGCCGUGUGUGCUUCAAAAUGAAGUAAUUCCCCUUUCUAGAAACACGUGCAUAAAACCCCUUAUCUCGCCGCAUGCGCAUCAAUAUCACCACCGCAUGCGCAUCUCAUUACAACACAAUAAUCAACUCGCACCACACGUGCCCAUAUGCCACAAUAUAGCCAAAACAACAAUACCAAUAUCACAAUAUAGCCAAAACAACAAUACCAAUAUCACAACAAUGUAUAGCCCACGGCUCAACAAUAAUGUAUACAAGAGUUUCAACAACACAAUAAAACGGAAGAAUAAACUCAACAAUGAAAGAUAUUCCAUGUAAUAACAACUUCAAUUAAAUGCAUAUAAGUAACCUAAGAGUUUAAAUCGGUCAAUUCCACAUAUAAGCCCGUGCACACACUCGUCACCACAUAUAAGUUUUUUUAGUGUGUGUUUAUCAUAUAUAGAAAGGCUGCUAAAGUAAUUUGGGAGAAGCUCAUGCUUUUGAAAAGAAUGGACAGGUUUAAACCAAAAUCUAAGUUGCUCAGAUAUGGCAGUUUAGGUGCCGCACCCGUGACAACACAACACUAGUAUGGGUGUGGAUAUGGGAUCAAUGCCGGAUCUGCUCAGACAAUUUUUGGUACUUUGACCACGAUGGACGGAAAAAUUCGAGACGAGAGACAAUUUGAUUCCCGAAAUCAGAACAAAAAAUAGGGUAAAUUGAAGAAAAUAACAUACCUUAUCUAGAAAAUCAAUCCUUUAUUUAUCUACAAUAAUAACAAUAAACACAGUGGAGUCCUACAAGUGGGAGUCUGAGGACGAUAGUUUGUACACAGAACUUAGCCUACCCUUAGGAGGUAGAGAGGCUGUUUCCGGUAGACCAUCGACUCAAGAAAAUGAAAAGCAACAAUAGAAACUAGCAGUAUCAACCACAAAGGCCAGAAAGCAAGUAUUCCACAAAAUUUCUAAACUUGAGAAUAAAAAAAGAAAUCUACACUUUGCAAGCUAUACGUAAGCAUUUCACGAAAUUUCUCAUAAUUUAGAGAUAUUUAUAUUUAUAUUUGUUUGAAUUAUUUUUAGCUGGGGGCACCCGCAUCAAUACUAGUAGUAUCCCCGAAUCUUAGAAUUUACAUCUCAAAGAAUCCGACCUCUAGAUCCGUACCCAUGUCGGAUACUUGUACCCGUUUUCGAGCAACUUAGACUAAAAUUAUUAUAGAAAAUAAAAAGGCUCGCGAACAUGAUGAGUGGAGCUUCUUUGUUGGAUUGCACUUCAAAAAAGGCUAGUCGCACAGAGGAAAAAUCUGAGCUUGCUUGAGUAGAUUGUGAGCUGGCUUCGCUUCCAUCCCAUCAUAGUUGCCAUCAUAGUAGCAAUCUAUUUUGCCAUGAUUGAUAUGGAAUGCUAGUACUUUAAUGGAAUUGUUACCAAUGCUUACUGAAAGCCUCAGUGAUCAUCUUAUUGAGAACUUUGAGAAAAGGUCAAAAAAUGAUUACCUUGUUUUCACUAUGCUUUAUAACCUUCAGCCUUAAGUGCCUAAUACAAACAACAAAAAACCCAUUAUAGUCCCACAAGUGGGGUCUGGGGAGGGUAGUGUGUACGCAGACCUUACCCCUACCUUGAAGGCAGAGGCUUUUUCCAAACAUAAGUGCCUAAUAUUGUCUCAAAUUUAAGUACUCUUUUCUUUUCCUAAUUGCUUUCUGGUGCUUAAUGGUAGGAUGCUAGCAAGAAAUCUCCCAUGGAAUUGAUCAAUGAAGUUCCACCUAUCAAGGUUGAGGGUAGGAUUGCUGCCUGCGAAGGAGGUAAUUUGAGUAUCAUUUCUUUUCCAAAAAUUUAAUAUCAUUUCUUCUUGAAAAUGUGCUUUCGAUAACAUAUACUGCUUCCACUUGCCCCUAAAAAAUAAGGUAAUUACUGCUUCCGUUACAAGUUUAAAUUUGUGUAAAAAUGCUCUUAUAUAUUCUGGUGCAGACACUCCUGCUCUUGGGCACCCAAUUGAGUUUAUUUGCCUUGAUAUGAACGAGCCAGCAGUGUGCAAGUAUUGUGGGUUACGCUAUGUUCAAGAUCAUCACCACUAGGGUCUGCGCAAUGGAAAUUCCUGAACUUUACUUUUAUAUGCAAGUGGCAGAGAUUACAUUAUUCAUUUGUACUAUUGAUACUGGCAGUGUUCCUUCUUCUAAUAAAGGAUCAGCUUUGACAUGUAAUACAGAUUCCUUUUAGCUGUUGCGCUUCAACAUAUAGUUUAGUUCCCUUUGAUUGAUUUUUCUGUUGAUUGCAAAUUCUCUUAUCCUUUGCACUCACG
Molecule: long non-coding RNA, 43515 nt
Filed under: Nicotiana tabacum (common tobacco)
Lineage: Eukaryota; Viridiplantae; Streptophyta; Magnoliopsida; Solanales; Solanaceae
Description: long non-coding RNA (NTAB_LNC014457)
Source: RNAcentral